UAGCCGGCUCAGCAAGUCUCCCGUUAAAUUCAGCGACCUAAUCGUUGNGCCGCGGGAGAUACUNCUAAGCUAGGAGGCGGGAGAGGUCGACGGUACUCCUGGGGUAGGGGUGAAAUCCUAUAAUCCCAGGAGGACCACCAGUGGCGAAGGCUGUUGACUAGAACGCGCUCGACGGUGAGGGACGAAAGCUGGGGGAGCGAACCGGAUUAGAUACCCGGGUAGUCCCAGCCGUAAACGAUGCGGGCUAGGUGUUGGGGUGGCUACGUGCCACCUCAGUGCCGCAGGGAAGCCGUUAAGCCCGCC
RNAcentral lists this ribosomal RNA (303 nucleotides) under uncultured crenarchaeote. Its description in RNAcentral is "bacterial SSU rRNA". It matches the Rfam family "Archaeal small subunit ribosomal RNA", at positions 522 to 825 of the family's 1478-position model. Lineage: Archaea; Thermoproteati; Thermoproteota. The record is from RNAcentral.